Molecule: long non-coding RNA, 242 nt
Filed under: Elaeis guineensis (African oil palm)
Lineage: Eukaryota; Viridiplantae; Streptophyta; Magnoliopsida; Arecales; Arecaceae
Description: long non-coding RNA (EGUI_LNC022991)
Source: RNAcentral
UGGGCAACAAUAGCAAUAUUGGUAAUUAAUCAUUGUUAUUUACCACUAAUAAUAACUUUAUUACUUAAUAAAAAUAAAUUUACUAUUAGUUACUGCAUAUUCUUAGUAACGCUAUUUUUAUUGUUCUUACAUAUGAAUUUUACCAUAUAUUGACACAAUAAAAUAUUUUUUAUUAACUAUUUAUAUUUAAAAAGAACAAAUAACAAUAUUAUCAAUGAUAAAUAAAAAUAAAUCCUAUUACU